Long non-coding RNA from Ostrinia nubilalis (European corn borer), 524 nucleotides. RefSeq lists it as uncharacterized. Lineage: Eukaryota; Metazoa; Arthropoda; Insecta; Lepidoptera; Crambidae. The transcript is spliced from 2 exons. The record is from RefSeq and is a predicted model, not a curated record.
AUGACUGCUUGAUUGUAUUUGUUUGUGUUUUUAAAAUUGUAUUUUUAUGUUUCCAGUCUUAUUUUUAAUAUUUCUAAAGUACGGAAAAUAUCAAACGAAGAGAUAACCAAGUUAAAGAAAAACAAUGAAGAAUUCCUAAUCAUACCGAUAGUAUUAAAGAAUGAAGUCUUCAAAAUUAACAGAAUAACCGAACUCCACUACCUACCCCAUAAUGCGAGGUUUACAGUAAUUAUUCAACUUACAUGAAGCAGUCAGAAAGUUUAUUGAGAUUUGAGAAAUAAAGUUACACUCAUAAGUAGCAAAACAGUGGAUGAAGAAGUGUGGGAUUAUGAGUGAUUAUUUCAUUCUAAAGCAGACAUAAUCAAGUCUUGCUCACUAUCAUGAAAAUUUACAAUAACAAUCAGCAAGAAAAACUUCAAGGGUACUGGCUAGGCUAACCAAUUCAUGGAAUUCUGUUUGUAUUUGAAAUUAUAAAUAGCUAUUGUAAAACAAAAGUUUUCCAAAUAAAGAUUUUGUAAAUAAUG